This is a non-coding RNA of Sus scrofa (pig), 478 nucleotides long. The record is from RefSeq and is a predicted model, not a curated record. NCBI's taxonomy places the organism in Eukaryota, Metazoa, Chordata, Mammalia, Artiodactyla, Suidae.
CAGACAUAAAUCGUAUGUAAAUCUCUGCCAGGAGGACAACCUCAUGAAACAGAAGCAGAAAGACAGCUGAGCAGCGGCUGGAAUGGGGUGUGCAUGGUGGACAGAGGAGCAAGAUUCAGAUGGUCUGGGAGCUGCACGUGGACUUCGAGGUUCUAGAAUCACUCUCUGGUGGAUAUUUGCUGUGGAUCCAGCGCUGGCUGAGGCAUUUGAGGGAAUCAAACAAAACGCAGAGCUGUGACCUUAAGGAAUAAAUAAUCUAGCACAAGAGACAGGAUUUGAAGAGAGAUGCUGGGACCACUGACAGAAGAGUAAGAGUUGGAGAAGUUCUUUUAGAGGUCAUCUAGUACAACCUUCUACCCAAUGAAGAAGGUACUUUCUAUGGGAGGUAAAUAAGUGAUAGACCAGCAACCAGCUGGAUGGACAUCAGCAGCAGAGUGCCAGUAAUAGCUAAUAAUAACGCUGAUUGAAUGCUUAUUGU